GGCCACAGUUUGAAAUGAAUAUUACAGGCAAAUUAUGUAUGCUGAAAUUAAUUUUUGUUUGAUGAGAAAAGAUAGAUAACGAUACACCAAAUAUUCAGCUUUGAAAAAUCUCUUUUUCCUUUUAUUUUAUUUUAUUUUUUCCCAUCUCCUAUGUACUAAAUACUAUCCUUCUUAAUCUAACUAAAAUUCUCAAACAUAGUUUUACUGUGUGCACUUUUGUCUCACAUUAAAAUGGAA
RNAcentral lists this unclassified non-coding RNA (237 nucleotides) under Hevea brasiliensis (rubber tree). The record is from RNAcentral. Lineage: Eukaryota; Viridiplantae; Streptophyta; Magnoliopsida; Malpighiales; Euphorbiaceae.